Long non-coding RNA from Arabidopsis thaliana (thale cress), 495 nucleotides. RefSeq annotates it as other RNA. The transcript has a single exon. The record is from RefSeq. Lineage: Eukaryota; Viridiplantae; Streptophyta; Magnoliopsida; Brassicales; Brassicaceae.
UUUGGAAGUGACGAACACUGCGUUCAGUUCAUGUAACAAUAUGGGGUUCUAAAUUGAAACCGGAACCAAAUUACCGAAAUUCCGGUUUGGUCUGAUUCGGUAACUUUGCUUCGGUAUAAUUAUCCAAGCCAAAAAAAGAGGAGAUAAAUCAUAAAUGUAUGUUGAGCGUGGAAGACACGCGCUGAAGAUAGAGAAGCUGAUCAGCCUAAUCUUGGGGUCCAAGUUGGGUUGAAUUGAAUUGUGUAGAUAGGCAAUGGAGUUGGAGGGUCGAUAUUGAAUUGAAUCUUAUUUUGUUGCCUUCUGUUUUCCAAGUAGGAGGGGUCCCAUUCACAUGGCUUUUCCUUCUCUUGUUUAGACAUGUGACCAUGUCGUAAGACUAAAGUUCUUUGCGUCUUUUAAAACCCUCGAAAACUAAAUAAAAAAAGUUUAUUGAACGUUGGGUCAUUGUUGGAACGUUUUGAUUCACCGGGACAUGAGAUGUGGUUCGAUCCAUUU